UAUAUUUAAUAUAUAUAUUUAUUUAAUAGUAAAUAUAUAUAAUGCUAUCCAUUUCACGUAAUUUUUGGAAUUUUUUAAUUAUUCUGAUGUCAACCUUACACUUAUAUUUUUCACAGGUUUUGAAUAUAAUGUCUCCAGUAUGGAUAUGUUUGACGAUUGUUACCAUGGAAACGAACUCACAGACCAACAUGUAUGUCAAAACAGGUUUUGAACAUGAUGUCUCCAGCAAGGAUAUGUUUGAUGAUGGUUACCAUGGGAACGAACUCACAGACCUAUGUUUUGAACAUGAUGUCUCCAGCAAGGAUAUGGUUGAUAACGGUUACCAUGGAAACGAACUCACGGACCUAUGUCAAAAAUGUCUUUUUCUGAUAAAAUAAAUAUAAUGCUAUCCAUUUCA
Molecule: long non-coding RNA, 397 nt
Organism: Ostrea edulis (European flat oyster)
Lineage: Eukaryota; Metazoa; Mollusca; Bivalvia; Ostreida; Ostreidae
Exons: 3
Source: RefSeq, a predicted model, not a curated record